UACCACGCGUAGGCUGACAGAGCUCA
RNAcentral lists this non-coding RNA (26 nucleotides) under Mus musculus (house mouse). Lineage: Eukaryota; Metazoa; Chordata; Mammalia; Rodentia; Muridae. The record is from RNAcentral.